RNAcentral lists this ribosomal RNA (489 nucleotides) under uncultured bacterium. Its description in RNAcentral is "bacterial SSU rRNA". It matches the Rfam family "Bacterial small subunit ribosomal RNA", at positions 29 to 510 of the family's 1533-position model. The record is from RNAcentral.
AACGAACGCUGGCGGCGCGCCUAAUACAUGCAAGUCGAGCGAGAAGACGUAGCAAUACGUUUGUAAAGCGGCGAACGGGUGAGGAAUACAUGGGUAACCUACCCUCGAGUGGGGAAUAACUAGCCGAAAGGUUAGCUAAUACCGCGUACGCUCCUUGGACUUCGGUUCAGGGAGGAAAGCGAUACCGUGGGUAUCGCGCUCUUGGAUGGGCUCAUGUCCUAUCAGCUUGUUGGNGAGGUAACGGCUCACCAAGGCUUCGACGGGUAGCUGGUCUGAGAGGACAAUCAGCCACACUGGCACUGCGACACGGGCCAGACUCCUACGGGAGGCAGCAGUAAGGAAUAUUGCGCAAUGGGCGAAAGCCUGACGCAGCGACGCCGCGUGGGGGAGUGAAGGUCUUCGGAUUGUAAACCCCUUCCGGGAGGGAAGAUGGAACGAGCAAUCGUUCGGACGGUACCUCCAGAAGCAGCCGCGGCUAACUUCGUGCCA